GACGAACGCUGGCGGCGUGCCUAAUACAUGCAAGUUGAGCGAUGAAGAUUGGUGCUUGCACCAAGUUGAAGAGCAGCGAACGGGUGAGUAACGCGUGGGGAAUCUGCCUUUGAGCGGGGGACAACAUUUGGAAACGAAUGCUAAUACCGCAUAACAACUUUAAACAUAAGUUUUAAGUUUGAAAGAUGCAAUUGCAUCACUCAAAGAUGAUCCCGCGUUGUAUUAGCUAGUUGGUGAGGUAAAGGCUCACCAAGGCGAUGAUACAUAGCCGACCUGAGAGGGUGAUCAGCCACAUUGGGAGUGAGACACGGCACAAACGCAUACGGGAGGCAGCCGUAGGGAAUCUUCGGCAAUGGACGAAAGUCUGACCGCGAAACGCCGCGUGAGUGAAGAACGUUUCCGGAUCGUAAAACUCUGUUGGUAGAGAAGAACGUUGGUGAGAGUGGAAAGCUCAUCAAGUGACGGUAACUACCCAGAAAGGGACGGCUAACUACGUG
This 497-nucleotide ribosomal RNA is filed under the name uncultured bacterium. RNAcentral's name for it is "partial 16S ribosomal RNA". It matches the Rfam family "Bacterial small subunit ribosomal RNA", at positions 28 to 507 of the family's 1533-position model. The record is from RNAcentral.